RNAcentral lists this ribosomal RNA (595 nucleotides) under uncultured bacterium. RNAcentral describes it as "bacterial SSU rRNA". It matches the Rfam family "Bacterial small subunit ribosomal RNA", at positions 253 to 858 of the family's 1533-position model. The record is from RNAcentral.
UGAGGUAAUGGCUCACCAAGGCGACGACGGGUAGCGGGACUGAGAGGUUGGCCCGCCACAUCGGGACUGAGACACUGCCCGGACCUCCACGGAGGGCUGCAGUAACGAAUCUUGGGCAAUGGGCGAAAGCCUGACCCAGCGACGCCGCGUGCAGGAGGAAGCCCCUCGGGGUGUAAACUGCUGUCAGGGGUUAGAAAGCCGAAAGGUUGAUCAGCCCCAGAGGAAGUCACGGCUAACUUCGUGCCAGCAGCCGCGGUAAGACGAAGGUGGCAAGCGUUGUUCGAAAUCACUGGGCUUAAAGGGUGCGUAGGCGGACCUGCAAGUGUCUUGUGAAAUCCCCCGGCUUAACCGGGGAAUGGCUCGGCAAACUGUGGGUCUUGAGGCAAGUAGGGGUGCGUGGAACUCUUGGUGGAGCGGUGGAAUGCGUAGAUAUCAAGAGGAACGCCGAAGGUGAAAACAGCGCACUGGGCUUGCCCUGACGCUGAGGCACGAAAGCGUGGGGAGCAAACAGGAUUAGAUACCCUGGUAGUCCACGCCCUAAACGAUGCCUACUAGGUUGUAGGGGUUCUGACGCCCUUACAGUCGGAGCAAAAGU